RNAcentral lists this ribosomal RNA (413 nucleotides) under Nasutitermes matangensis. RNAcentral describes it as "partial 12S ribosomal RNA". The record is from RNAcentral. Lineage: Eukaryota; Metazoa; Arthropoda; Insecta; Blattodea; Termitidae.
CCCUAUUAUUUUAGAAUGUUAAUUUUUGUGCCUGAGUAGUAUUAGUUAUGUUCUUGAAACUUAAAGAAUUUGGCGGUAUCUCAUUCCGUCCAGAGGAAUCUGUCCCGUUAUCGAUAGUCCGCGCUGGACCUUACUUAUUUGAUUUUGGUUUGUAUACCGCCGUUUAUUGAUUAUCUUUUUAGGGUUUAUUUAAUUUUCUGGUUUCUUUAUUUUGAUGUAUUUCAGGUCAAGGUGCAGCUUGUUUUUAAGUGGAAUGAUGGAUUACAUUGUUAUUUGUUUAUGGAUUGUCGGUUUUAAUAUUGGCAUGAAAUUGGAUUUGGUUGUAAUGAUUUGUAGAUUGUUAUUAUGAUAAUGGUUCUGGGAUAUGCACACAUCGCCCGUCGCUCUCGUUUGUUUAUAUAAUGAGAUAAGUC